GUUGUAGGGUUAAGUAAUUAAGCGUAUAUGGUGGAUGCCUUGGCAGUCAGAGGCGAUGAAGGACGUGCAAAUCUGCGAAAAGCGUCGGUAAGGUGAUAUGAACCGCUAUAACCGGCGAUAUCCGAAUGGGGAAACCCGAUACUUUAAGUAUCAUCGUUAAGUGAAUACAUAGCUUAACGAAGCAAACCGGGAGAACUGAAACAUCUAAGUAACCCGAGGAAAAGAAAUCAAUAGAGAUUCCCUUAGUAGUGGCGAGCGAAAGGGGAACAGCCCAGAGCUUAAAAUAAACUUAUAUAUUAGUAAAAUGAUCUGGAAAGUUCAACGAUACAGGGUGAUAGUCCCGUAUAUGAAAAUAUAUAUGCUUGUAUGCUCAAUUGAGUAGGACGAGACACGUGAUAUCUUGUCUGAAGAUGGGGGGACCAUCCUCCAAGGCUAAAUACUCCUGACUGACCGAUAGUGAACUAGUACCGUGAGGGAAAGGCGAAAAGUACCCCGGUUAGGGGGGUGAAAUAGAACCUGAAACCAUAUACGUACAAGCAGUAGAAGCAUCUUUUUUAAGAUGUGACUGCGUACCUUUUGUAUAAUGGGUCAGCGACUUAUAUUCUGUAGCAAGGUUAACUUAAUAAGGGAGCCGAAGGGAAACCGAGUCUUAACUGGGCGAUUUAAGUUGCAGAGUAUAGACCCGAAACCCGGUGAUCUAACCAUGAGCAGGUUGAAGGUUGGGUAACACUAAUUGGAGGACCGAACCGACUAAUGUUGAAAAAUUAGCGGAUGACUUGUGGUUAGGGGUGAAAGGCCAAUCAAACCGGGAGAUAGCUGGUUCUCCUCGAAAGCUAUUUAGGUAGCGCCUCGUGAAUUUAUCUCCGGGGGUAGAGCACUGUUUCGGCUAAGGGGUUGUCCAAACUUACUAAUCCGAUGCAAACUACGAAUACCGGUGAAUAUUAUCACGGGAGACACACGGCGGGUGCUAACGUCCGUCGUGGAAAGGGAAACAACCCAGACCGCCAGCUAAGGUCCCUAAAUUAUGAUUAAGUGGGAAACGAUGUGGGAAGGCUUAAACAACCAGGAUGUUGGCUUAGAAGCAGCCAUCAUUUAAAGAAAGCGUAAUAGCUCACUGGUCGAGUCGGCCUGCGCGGAAGAUGUAACGGGGCUAAAUCAUAUACCGAAGCUGCGGCAACAACAUUUGAUGUUGCUAAGUUAAAUAUUGUUGGGUAGAGGAGCGUUCUGUAAACCGUCGAAGGUAUAUUGUAAAGUAUGCUGGAGGUAUCAGAAGUGCGAAUGCUGACAUGAGUAACGACAAAGCGGGUGAAAAACCCGCUCGCCGAAAGACUAAGGGUUCCUGUCUAACGUUAAUCGGGGCAGGGUGAGUCGACCCCUAAGGUGAGGCCGAAAGGCGUAAUCGAUGGAAAACAGGUUAAUAUUCCUGUACUUGAUGUUAUUGCGAUGGGGGGACGGAGAAGGCUAUAUUAUCCGAGCGACGGUUGUCUCGGUUUAAGCGUGUAGGUGGAUGUUCUAGGUAAAUCCGGUUCAUUUUACACUAAGACGUGAUGACUAGGUACUUAAUAAUACUAAAGUAAUAAAUGCCAUGCUUCCAAGAAAAGCCUCUAAGCAUCAGAUAAUAUUAAAUCGUACUCUAAACCGACACAGGUGGUCAGGUAGAGAAUACUAAGGCGUUUGAGAGAACUCGGGUGAAGGAACUAGGCAAAAUGGUGCCGUAACUUAGGGAGAAGGCACGCUGAUAUAAAAGUGAAAAGAUUUACUCUUGGAGCUUAAAUCAGUCGAAGAUACCAGCUAGCUGCAACUGUUUAUUAAAAACACAGCACUGUGCAAACACGAAAGUGGACGUAUACGGUGUGACGCCUGCCCGGUGCCGGAAGGUUAAUUGAUGGGGUUAUCUGUAAUGGAAAAGCUCUUGAUCGAAGCCCCGGUAAACGGCGGCCGUAACUAUAACGGUCCUAAGGUAGCGAAAUUCCUUGUCGGGUAAGUUCCGACCUGCACGAAUGGCGUAAUGAUGGCUAGGCUGUCUCCACCCGAGACUCAGUGAAAUUGAAUUUGCUGUGAAGAUGCAGUAUACCCGCGGCAAGACGGAAAGACCCCGUGAACCUUUACUAUAGCUUGACACUGAAUAUUGAAUAUUUAUGUGUAGGAUAGGUGGGAGGCUUUGAAGUAUAAACGCUAGUUUAUAUGGAGCCAAUGUUGAAAUACCACCCUUAAAUAUUUAAUAUUCUAACGUAGCUCCGUAAUCCGGAGUGCAGACAGUGUCUGGUGGGUAGUUUGACUGGGGCGGUCUCCUCCUAAAGAGUAACGGAGGAGUACAAAGGUCAGCUAAUCACGGUCGGAAAUCGUGAAUUUAGUGCAAUGGCAUAAGCUGGCUUAACUGCGAGAGUGACAAUUCGAGCAGAUGCGAAAGCAGGUCAUAGUGAUCCGGUGGUUCUGAAUGGAAGGGCCAUCGCUCAACGAAUAAAAGGUACUCCGGGGAUAACAGGCUAAUACCGCCCAAGAGUUCAUAUCGACGGCGGUGUUUGGCACCUCGAUGUCGGCUCAUCACAUCCUGGGGCUGAAGUAGGUCCCAAGGGUACGGCUGUUCGCCGUUUAAAGUGGUACGCGAGCUGGGUUUAGAACGUCGUGAGACAGUUCGGUCCCUAUCUGCCGUGGGCGUUGGAGAAUUGAGGGAGGUUACUCCUAGUACGAGAGGACCGGAGUGAACGCACCACUGGUGUUCGGGUUGUCAUGCCAAUGGCAUUGCCCGGUAGCUAAGUGCGGAAAAGAUAAGAGCUGAAAGCAUCUAAGCACGAAACUUGUCCCAAGAUUAGUUCUCACUGAUUUUUUAUAAAAAUCCUAAAGGGACGUUGAAGACAACAACGUUGAUAGGCCGGAUGUGUAAGCAUAGUAAUGUGUUGAGCUAACCGGUACUAAUGACCCGUGAGGCUUAACCUUACAACACCAGAGGUGUUU
The sequence is a ribosomal RNA, 2955 nucleotides long. It matches the Rfam family "Bacterial large subunit ribosomal RNA".